CCCUUAGAUGUUCUGGGCCGCACGCGUGCUACACUGGUGAAUACAGCGAGUGUCCAUUCCCUUGACCGAAAGGUCUGGGUAAUCUUAUGAAAGUCCAUCGUGACAGGGAUUGAUCAUUGCAAUUAUUGAUCAUGAACGAGGAAUUCCUAGUAAAGGCGAGUCAUCAUCUCGCUUUGAUUACGUCCCUGCCCUUUGUACACACCGCCCGUCGCUACUACCGAUUGAAUGGUUUAGUGAGAUCUCCGGAUUGGCGGCCUUGGUACCUUCACGGGUCCAACGGUUCUGCCGAGAAGCUGCUCGAACUUGAUCAUUUAGAGGAAGUAAAAGUCGUAACA
This 335-nucleotide ribosomal RNA is filed under the name uncultured eukaryote. Its description in RNAcentral is "partial 18S ribosomal RNA". It matches the Rfam family "Eukaryotic small subunit ribosomal RNA", at positions 1470 to 1796 of the family's 1831-position model. The record is from RNAcentral.